UGAGGAAUAUUGGACAAUGGGCGCAAGCCUGAUCCAGCCAUGCCGCGUGCAGGAUGACGGUCCUAUGGAUUGUAAACUGCUUUUGUACAGGAAGAAACAGUUCUACGUGUAGAACCUUGACGGUACUAUAAGAAUAAGGAUCGGCUAACUCCGUGCCAGCAGCCGCGGUAAUACGGAGGAUCCAAGCGUUAUCCGGAAUCAUUGGGUUUAAAGGUCCGUAGGCGGUUAGAUAAGUCAGUGGUGAAAGCCCAUCGCUCAACGGUGGAACGGCCAUUGAUACUGUCUGACUUGAAUUAUUAGGAAGUAACUAGAAUAUGUAGUGUAGCGGUGAAAUGCUUAGAGAUUACAUGGAAUACCAAUUGCGAAGGCAGGUUACUACUAAUGGAUUGACGCUGAUGGACGAAAGCGUGGGUAGCGAACAGGAUUAGAUACCCAGUAGUCCCUGAGCGGGCUGGCAAGGCGCAU
This 465-nucleotide ribosomal RNA is filed under the name uncultured bacterium. RNAcentral's name for it is "bacterial SSU rRNA". It matches the Rfam family "Bacterial small subunit ribosomal RNA", at positions 355 to 825 of the family's 1533-position model. The record is from RNAcentral.